UNCCAUGUGUAGCGGUGAAAUGCGUAGAUAUAUGGAGGAACACCNGUGGCGAAGGCGACUCUCUGGUCUGUAACUGACGNUGAGGCUCGAAAGCGUGGGUAGCAAACAGGAUUAGAUACCCUGGUAGUCCACGCCGUAAACGAUGAGUGCUAAGUGUUGGAGGGUUUCCGCCCUUCAGUGCUGCAGUUAACGCAUUAAGCACUCCGCCUGGGGAGUACGACCGCAAGGUUGAAACUCAAAGGAAUUGACGGGGACCCGCACAAGCGGUGGAGCAUGUGGUUUAAUUCGUAGCAACGCGAAGAACCUUACCAAGUCUUGACAUCCUUUGACCGCUCUAGAGAUAGAGCUUUCCCUUCGGGGACAAAGUGACAGGUGGUGCAUGGUUGUCGUCAGCUCGUGUCGUGAGAUGUUGGGUUAAGUCCCGCAACGAGCGCAACCCUUAUUACUAGUUGCCAGCAUUUAGUUGGGCACUCUAGUGAGACUGCCGGUGACAAACCGGAGGAAGGUGGGGAUGACGUCAAAUCAUCAUGCCCCUUAUGACUUGGGCUACACACGUGCUACAAUGGAUGGUACAACGAGCAGCGAACUCGCGAGGGUAAGCGAAUCUCUUAAAGCCAUUCUCAGUUCGGAUUGUAGGCUGCAACUCGCCUACAUAAAGCCGGAAUCGCUAGUAAUCGCGGAUCAGCACGCCGCGGUGAAUACGUUCCCGGGUCUUGUACACACCGCCCGUCACACCACGAGAGUUUGUAACACCCAAAGUCGGUGAGGUANCCUUU
RNAcentral lists this ribosomal RNA (776 nucleotides) under uncultured bacterium. RNAcentral's name for it is "bacterial SSU rRNA". It matches the Rfam family "Bacterial small subunit ribosomal RNA", at positions 667 to 1443 of the family's 1533-position model. The record is from RNAcentral.